CUCAAAUAAAGGAGUCUGGCAUUCUUCUGUCAGUGAUGCGUAUUUGCAAAUCAUGGAGAGAAGGAAAGGAGAAAGAGCUGCUCAAAUGAGGAAAAGUGGCAGACAAUGCUGAUGUUCAGUAGCAAGGUAGACACCAGCUCUUUUUUGUAAUUCUUAUGUUACAGUGCAUCUGUGCGUAUUUCAGUCUGCAGUUGGUGGCACUGAAGGAAUUGCUGUCAUGACCUUGGGGCAGUGCAGAUAUUCUCCAUGGAAACAUUGUCCAUCUUUUAAAACUAAGCAUGAAAUGCCUGAGGCGAGUGGACUCAGUUCGUGUCAGGCAAUGGGGAAGGGAAAUUUCCAGCCAGGAAGCCACAGUGAGCUCAAGAAAGUACAGGAGGAUAAAAGAAACUGGAGAGAGAGGAAGGAGAGAGAAAGGGCAGACUUCAUUUUCUACUUCCCCUCCCUUUAAUGGCAGGAGUCAUUCAAUGUGGCCUCAGAUGCCAUCAGGGAACCACUCUAACACUUGACUGAGGGAGGCAAAGGAUGACCCAGAG
RNAcentral lists this long non-coding RNA (533 nucleotides) under Phasianus colchicus (ring-necked pheasant). RNAcentral describes it as "lncRNA (ENSPCLG00000003515.1)". Lineage: Eukaryota; Metazoa; Chordata; Aves; Galliformes; Phasianidae. The record is from RNAcentral.